Molecule: long non-coding RNA, 13230 nt
Filed under: Malus domestica (apple)
Lineage: Eukaryota; Viridiplantae; Streptophyta; Magnoliopsida; Rosales; Rosaceae
Description: long non-coding RNA (MDOM_LNC003857)
Source: RNAcentral
AAUAUACUAUCUCCUCGAUGUAAAACACGUAUAAUUUUUCCCAGAAUCAAGAUAUAAGCAUAUACAUAAUAUAUAUAUAUAUAUAUAUGAAAUCAUAUCAAUUCAAUUUAUUCUUCACAUAAUUAUAUUCAAAUGUAUGCCAUGACAAGAUAUAACAGAGUAAGCAAUUCAGGUAAGAAUAAAUUCAUAGAAAUAUGAUAUGUUAGCCGGAACCCCUGUGGUAGUCUGUACAGCUGAAUUCAUAGCUCAAAAGUCAAUCUAGCCGGAGUCACUACAAUGACCUAUACGGCAAUAUACUGCACAUAAGUCGGAACCACUAAAAAGGGGUAUGUACAACAAGAUUGGGUGUAAUAUAAUUAUGCUCAAUUUUACUCUCUCAUAAUAGCCGGGCGAUAAAUCGCUAGUCACCUCAGAGUCGGAACCAUAAAUAAGGUCUCUAUGACAACACUGUGCACUUAAGUUGGAUCCAAUAUGAGCAUAUAGUGCGGGAGGUGACGUAAAUAAACAGGCCUGUACUUCAUAUCUCUAACUAAAUCAUAAUCACCCUAGGUACAGUUUUAUGAGCUCAACAUUAUUCAAUCACAUAUCACAUCAUCGAUGAUUCACAUAACCAAACAUAAUUUACCUGAACUUACCUAUGCAUCCACAACACCACAUUUAUAUAUAUAUAUAUAUAUAUGCAACCAUGAAAUGCAUAUUCAGAAUAUAAAAGCAAUUGGCAUAUUAUUUCAAAGCAUACUUUCCUUAAAAAAUGCAUUUUUGGGAAAUAUAUCAAGUAUAUAAAUAUAUACUGAAAACAAAAGCCCACUCACUGGUAUGUCGAUGGGUCGUAACCCCCGAGUUGCCCGUGGAUAUGCUCGUUCUCGGGAUAAGGCUCACCUAUAUGCGAAUUAACUAUAAAAACGUUAUUUUAAAGCACAUAGGUAAAACUAGCUAAUAACUUCUCAUACAAUGCUCAAUUUGGGUAUAUGAAUAUACCACAAUGACCUACACAACCUCAGGAUCAACCCUAAAUUUUCAAAAUAAUUUUCUGACCCCGCACACGCCGCAACGCGCCGACCAAGGCACGGCAAUAGGCGCGGCCACGCGCAGGGGAUCCUGACGGAUUCUACAAACGGCGUCAGGAAUAUUCCUCAGAAUAUUCCGUUAAAUCCUAAUGGUAAUAGUCCUUCCUAACUGACGGCGUCAGAAUAUUCCGUCCAAACUGACAGAAUAUUCUGUCUUCGUCUCCGGCGAGUUGCCAGUCGACGGAAAGCUGGGAAAAUUUCUAAUCGUCUAUUGUCACUCAUUUUUCAACCAUUUUCUUUGAAAUUUGAACCAAAUGAAAGCCUAUAGUGAGAAGAAUGGCGUUAUACCUAUUUGAAGCUUCAAGUCUCACAAAAUCACGUCGGGGAAGCUUCGAAAUUCCGACCAAACCUGCAACUCUUCAUUUCUCAUGAUCUCGACGUCCAAAUUCUCCCAAUAAAAUACCCCGAGCUUCCUUAGGACCUCCUAAAGCUCACUAUGAGCUUAGAAUUCCCUAAAAAUAACAUAUUUACGUGUGCUUAAAUAGUGCACAAAUCGAGGGUUAGGUUUCACGGGGUUUUUGAAGGUUUCAGGUUCUCAAACUUGUACCAAUGGAUUCCUGAGGUCACAAGGAACACAAAAAUGCUUACCUUGGUUUCGAUCUGCAAGGUUUGGGAUGGUUUCUGGGUUGCCCAUACAAAAAUGCUGAGAGGGAGAGAGAGAAGGUAUGUGUGUGGUCCCAAAAGCCACCAAUGAAAACCAACCAUUCCCUUACUUCCAAUUGGGUCCAAAAACUUAGGGAAAAUAAUAAAUGGGUCCAAAUCCAACUUAAAUCACACAAUACACUUUAACAUCCAAGGGUAAAAUUGUCAUUUCACGUCAUAAAAAAUUUGUUAUUCGGGAAGGGCUGUGACAAUCUCCCCACCUUAUAAAAUUUAGUCCUCGAAAUUACAUACAACCACUACAUCCACUAAUAAUCAUAAAACAAGCGUGGAUACAUCUCUCUCAUCCGAUCCUCUAUCUCCCAAGUAACUUCUUCUACUGAAUGAUUUCUCCAUAAUACUUUCACCAAGCGUACGGUCUUGUUCCUCAGUUCUUUAUCCUUCAAAUCCAACAAAAUCACUGGUUCCUCAUCAUAAGUCAAAUCUGGAUUAAUUUCCAGAGGUUGAGGAGAAAUCACAUGUGAAGGAUCUGAAACAUAAUGUCGAAGCAUCGAAACAUGAAAUACAUCAUGCACCUUGGACAACUCUGGAGGCAACUCAAGCCUGUAAGCAACCUCACCGACUCGCUCGGUGAUCAUAUAUGGUCUAAUGUACCUAGGACUCAACUUUCCUUUCUUUCCAAAUCGUACAACACAUUCCAAGGUGAUAGCUUCAGAAAUACCCAAUCACCUUCAUUAUACUUCCGAUCAAUGGCAUGCUUGUCUGCUAAACUCUUUUGUCGAUCUUGGGCCGCUUUCAGGUUAGACUUUAUUACCUGAACAUUUUGAGUAGUCACAUCCACAAUCUCAGGGCCCACUAAAACUCUUUCGCCAACCUCUGACCAACAUAAAGUCACACGACAAGAUUUCCCAUAAAGUUCCUCAAAUGGUGCCAUACCAAUACUCGAAUGAUAACUGUUGUUGUAGGCGAACUCCAUCAAAUCCAAACAAUCAUGCCAACUAUCUCCAAACUGCAGCACUGGAGAUCUCAACAUAUCCUCUAAUGUCUGAAUAGUUCUCUCAGAUUGUCCAUCUGUCUGAGGGUGAUAUGCCGUACUAUAAAGCAAUCUCGUACCAAGAACAUCCUGGAAUGCUAUCCAGAACUUGGAAGUAAAUAUGGGAUCCCGAUCCGAGAUAAUAUUAAUUGGCACACCAUGAUACUUCACAAUCUGCGAUAUAAAUAACUUAGCUAAUCGGCUUAACGAAUACUUCUCCCUUACUGGAAUAAAGUGUGCUGACUUCGUAAGCCGAUCAACUACCACCCAAAUGCUGUCAUAACAAUUCUGUGUACGAGGGAGCUUGUACACAAAAUCCAUAGCAAUAUUUUCCCAUUUCCACUGUGGAAUGGGAAGUGGCUGCAUCAACCCAAACGGCUUCUUCCUUUCAGCUUUAACCUGUUGGCAAAUGGCACACCUACUCAUAAUAUUCGACAAUUUCUCUUUUCAUACCUAGCCAAUAAUAAAAUGGUCUAAUGGUAUGAUACAUUUUAGUGCCUCCUGGAUGCAUCGCAUAUGCCGAAAUAUGUGAUUCAUCCAAAAUUUCUUUCUUUAACUCUGCAUUAUUUGGCACAUACAUUCUACUUUCCUACAUAAGCAUACCAUCAAAUUCUCGAAUCCUGAAAUCUUUCUUUUUUCCUUGAUUUCUUGCUUGAAUUAUUUCCUGGGUCUCUUCAUCAAUCAUCUGAGCCUCGAGCACACGAUCAAUUAAAAUUGGCCUGACUUGAAAAUUAGUAAGCAAAGCUUCUUCUCGAUCUUCCACUCAUAACUCCACUCCAGUGGACCUCAAAUCUGCUAGAAGAGGAACAUGACAAUCAUAGAUGGUAUUAAGUUUGGCUGGAGUCUUUCUACUAAGUGCCUCCGCCAUUGCAUUUUCACGACCAGGAUAAUACUCAAUCGUGCAAUCAUAGUCACUAAGUAACUCAAUCGACCUCCGCUGUCGAAGAUUAAGAUCUCUCUAAGUAAACAAAUACUGAAGACUCUUAUGAUCUGUGAAGUUCUUACAUUUCUCACCAUAAAGAUAAUGUCUCCAAAUCUUCAAAGAAAAGAUGAUAGCUGCUAAUUCCAAAUCAUGUGUAAGGUAAUUCUUCUCAUGAGGUUUCAACUGUCUCGAAGCAUAAAUAAUCACCCUACCAUGUUGCAUUAAUACACAACCCAAACCAUUCAAAGAAGCAUCACUAUAAACCUCAUAAUUACCGCUAUCAUCUCGAAGUGUUAGAAUAGGAGCAUGAGUGAGAUAGUACUUCAACUGCUGGAAACUUUGCUCACAUUUAUUAUCCCACUCAAACUUAACAUCCUUUCAAGUCAACCUCGUCAAUGGCAGAGCAAUCACUAAAAAAUCCUUAACGAACCGUCUAUAAUAGCCUACUAAGCCAAGAAAACUUCGUACCUCGGUGACGGUUCGAGGUUGUUCCCAAUUCUCCACAGCUGCCACCUUCUGAGAAUCUGCUUGAAUGCCUUGAGAAGAAAUGACAUGUCCCAAAAAUGCUACUUGAUUCAACCAAAAUUCACAUUUGCUAAACUUAGCAUAUAGUUGGUGUUCCCUCAAACUACUCAACACCAACUUCAGAUGUCUAACAUGCUCAGCCUUAGACUUAGAGUAUACCAGAAUAUCAUCAAUGAAGACAAUAACAACCUGUCCAAAUAUGGCUGGAAUACUCGAUUCAUUCAUAAAAGCUGCUGGUGCAUUAGUUAAACCGAAUGGCAUCACAAGAAACUCAUAAUGACCAUAUCAAGUCCUGAAUGCAGUUUUAGGGACAUCUUCAUUUAUAAUCUUCAACUGGUAGUAUCCCGACCUUAAGUCAAUCUUAGAAAAUACACAAGCACCUCUGAGUUGAUCAAAUAAAUCAUCCAUACGAGGCAAUGGAUAACGGUUUUUAAUAGUUACUCGAUUCAAUUGCCUGUAAUCAUUGCACAACCUCAAAGUUCCAUCUUUCUUCCUCACAAAUAAAACUGGAGCUCCCCAAGGUGAAGUACUCGGCUGCAUAAAACCUUUAUCCACUAACUCUUGUAACUGCACUUUCAAUUCUCUUAAUUCAGCAUGAGCCAUUUGAUGCGAUGAAAGUUAAGCACUCAAAUUAAACCCCCUUGUUGUCAAAUUGUAGUAAAAAUGCAAGUAGGGAUCGUUCUAAACCGAGGAUUAUGAAGGCUUGCUAAAACCUCUAAACUAACUCCAAAACAUAAAAAAAAGUUAAAAACGUUUGAAUAGACUCAAGGGACUCAAAACAGAUUCACAAGACUCAAAACAACUUAAAAACACUCAAAACUGCCUAAAAACACAAACUAGGCAGUUUCUGACUCUAACACAACUUUAGACGAAAUUUGGGUUUUGACUUGACUCAAAACACUCUAAAACACAAACAAAAAAGAUUUUAAACACUUUGAAACAAGAAAGUAAAAGGGGGAUUUUAGUUUUGAUGAAUUGGAAACAAACAAACAAGUUAUAAAAUUAGACAGAUUGUAAAGCGAAUUUAAGAAAUGAGAUGAUGGAUGGAUUAGUUAGAGGUCCGUUCUUCGCACAUGACACACUUGUACAUGAAUUGAUUUCCAAUUGCUUUCCAAUAAACUAUGAUGCUCAACACCCCAGAUUAACCGUGAUGCACAAAUUAACCUUCAGAUUUUCCUUUACUCAUUAAAUUGGAUGAAUGCAUGCGACAACCCAAAUCAUUCUCUAAAAGUCCCCUAUAUGAAUGCAUAAUAGAGAUACAAUCGGAGAUCAUUACGUUCAAUGAAAAUCAUAAGUGUUGACGAGGCAAUUAUAACUAUGAAUGCAUGAUACAAUUGCCAAGAAUUCAAUUAACGCGAUUGUGAUAAACAAUCUUCACUACUCAUGAAUAUAAACUUGUAACGAUUAGGUGAAACUCAUUUAUAUUCUAGCAUCUAAUUCAUGCAUGAAAACUAAGUAUGCAUCCUUAAUAAACAUACAAGAAUUAGUUAUGAAUAAAAUAGAUAAUUGAAUUGCAAUCACAACUUAUCAAAUCACAAUUGGAAGAAAUCAAUUCAUAUCUCAAGCAUGUUCAUGGCUUCAAACUUCCCCCUAACUAAAUAGGGGUUUAGCCACUCAUAAUUGCAACAAAAUUAGAAAAUAACAAAGUAGACAUUGAAAGCAAGAACGAAGUACACCUAAAACGCUCCAAAGUUCCAAGCUUGAAAUGCCAAGGACCUUUGUUUUCACCACUUUGUUGUAACACAAGUGUCUAGGAUGUGUAUGGAUAUAUAGAUGGAAUGGAUUUGCACGGCUAAGAGAUGAUAGUGUAUGGAAUGGUGAGAUGUACUAUGGCUAGGUGAAUGGAUGGAGGUCACGGUAAGGAAAUUGUGUUUGUGAAUGAAGUUGUGAGAUGUGAAAUGUAGUGUCUUUGGAUGAUGGCCUCCAAAUUAUGGUGAAGGGUGGAUGUAUUUAUAGGCUAGGGAGAGGAGUGUUGGAGUUGUAAUGAGUGGAUGUAAUGGGUGUAUGUGGUGUGAGUGGUGUAAUGGAUGUGGAGUGUGUUUGGUAAUGAGUGGAUGUAAUGGGUGUAGUGGGUGGAUGUUUGGUAAUGAGUGGAUGUAAUGGGUGUAGUGGAUGAGUGUUGGUAAUGAGUGGAUGGGUGUGUGGUAGUGUUUGGUGGAGUGGAUGGGUGUAGUUGGGUUGUGGUAAUGAGUGGAUGUAAUGGGUGUAGUGGAUGAGUGUUGGUAAUGAGUGGAUGUAAUGGGUGUAGUGGAUGAGUGGAAUGUAAUUGGUGGUGGAUGAUGUUUGGUGGAAUGGAAAAUGUGGUGGGAUGAGUGGAUGUGGUAGGAAAUGGAUGUGUUGGGUGAAAUGAGUGGAUGUAGUGGUAGGUGAAUGGGUGAAUGUGGAUUGUGGUAGGUGUGAAUGAGUGUUGUGCUGAAAAUUGUGUUAUUUAUAGGGAAGAGGAUGAUGCACAAACUUCAAAUUUCAUCCAUUCCUUUUGCUCCAAGCAUAUGCUAUCCAUUUCAUGCCCAAAAAUGCUCCAAAAUGCACUUCUUUGCCACAUUAACCCUUUGGACCUACAAACACACGAAAAUAGCUUAAAAUACUAAAAUAACUACGAACUAACAACAUAAAUGCCAAGAAACAAGCUAACUAAGUCGCAUAAAUAUGCUCCUAUCAAAUUCCCCCAUAUUUAGCUUUUGCUAGUCCUCGAGCAAAACAAAACAAACAAAACAAAACAAAACAAAACACAACCUAGACCUUCCAACAAUUGCCUCAGGGAUUUUUAAUGAAACAUGACAUGUUAAAAAUCAUCAUUCCCAUAGUUUUUGGUCAUCCUUACACUUGAGCACAUACUUAGAGUCACCACUUACUUGUUUACAAUUAACCAAUUAAAACGAUGUUUUGAAUGUAGUAACAUGCCUUAGAGAAUUUACUCAAUUCCUUACAAGAUACUCUCUAUUUUCACACACAUUUUCUAACUACACACCCUACACUAGUUAUAUGUGAGAAGAUUGAUGUAAACAUGAAAACGAACACUCACAUAUAUGUAUAACAAAGAGGGCAAUUUUUUGGAGUUAUUCAGCAUGUUUAGAUAUGAUCUCAUGAAUGGAAUGCUACUACUUAGAUGCAAGAACCAGUGACACCAUAUGCUCAAACCAAUUCCAAACUCCACAUAUUGAAACGCAGAACACUCAAGAUAAAGUUAAGAGUUGUAACGGGGUUUAAGGGUAAUGGCUAACAAAGAAAGGAUAAGGAUAACAAACGUUCUGAAAGCAAUAGCAAGCAAAGUAAUGAAAUAGACACUUGGAAUUCACUUAAUAAUGCAGAAAUUAACUUUUAAACACAAAGGGAAGAUUCAAGCAACACUUAGGGCCGAAUUCAAUGUUUUGGACCCUUUCUUCAGCAAACAACACUUUAGAGCUCUUUUUUCACAUAUUUUCAUUUUUUUCAACUCUUUUUCACUCUUUUCACAACUUUUCUUCUUUUCAUUCUAUUUUCCACGAAUGUUUCUUUUUUUCUUUUUCUUUUCUACCCGUGCCUUAUUAAGGACUUUGGCACACACAUACACAUACACAAGAAUCACUUCCCCCACACUUGUUUUUCUGCAAAAGUUCAACAAAAGGAAUUCCUUCUAAAUUAUGUUUUACUAUGCUUCAAGAACAAGGGUAUGGAUGGUCCUAAUCUAGGCUAGGUGAGGAUAGUGUGGGUUAACAAAGAACAUAGGCUACAAAAGGCUCAACGGGGUUAAACUUAAACACAUAAUGAAAUAGGGCACGGCAAUUUGGCUGUGGUGGUCACUACACAACUUCAUCUUGAAUAUGUGUUAUGCAAAUCAAUAGCAUGCUUUGAAUGAAAUAGGCAUGAGUUCUAGCAUUUGGAACUAAAUGAUGAAACACCUUCUAAGUAGCAACCAAGCAAAGAAUAAUGAGAUCAUGCAACGACUUUAGAAAACAAUAGUGCACAGAUUAUUAACUCUCCAAAUAAACGUUUAGGCUCAAAUCUCACAAGGUUGUAGCGUUCAUUUGAGUUCCUUCCUUCAAGCAUGUUACAAAAAUUGAUUUUUCCUUUAUGAUUGCAUGUGAAUUCAUAAAUUAUAACCACAACCAAGCAUACACCAAAGAGUACAUCAAAUUUUCAUCCAUGUUUAUAACUCUCUUUAACAGUCAUGUAAUUAAAAACCAAAUCCUCAUCAUUGUGUUGGAAGGUACCCUAAGACACAAAUAAACAUACAAAAACAACUCUUUUUGGGUUUUUCAAAACAAUUUUUUUCAAAUUUUUAUGAGAUUUUUCGGAUUUUUAUGUCAAAACACACUGAAACACUCCAAAACAGCUUAAAAACACUUAAAACAGCAAGGAACAACACUAGAAGUAAUGGGUGAUAAACUCCUACGAAUUUCAUGCAAAACAAUGGUUACCCCCCCACAUUUAAAUCAAACAUUGUCCUCAAUGUUUCAAGCAUAAACUCACACAAAAACAAGCAAAUAAACAAACAACGAAUAAACAUGACAAGUAUAGCAAAGUACAAAAAAAAAAACAGACAGAGUAGAGUUUAAGAACGCAAAUCUGGUUUUGGAGAUAGAUGAUCUUGUUGACUUUCCACAGCUUUGAUCUCGAACUGGUUUGGAAUUCUGAGCCAGGAAUACUAGAGUUCCUUGGUUUCAAAUCAGACUCCUUCUGCUGGGUUGAUUUGAUUGUGCAGACUGCAUUCUUCUUUGGUUGUUUCUUCUGCACGGCAGGCAGGCACGAGGUAGAGGUGUUGGUCUGUUUCUUUCUUCAAUCUUUCCAAGUGCCCACCUCUUGCUUUCUUUCUCCUUGUCCCUAGCUGAGGAUGAAUUGGCAAAUUGUCUCCACAUGCUUCGAGGCAUCAUUUUCACUUCCCUUAUCUGUUCCCCAGGCAGAUGUGGUAGACGAAGAGGAAACAUAAAAUGAUGAAGAUGAGUACUCGAGAGCAAGGCUAGGUAAGCAAUCAGGAAGGGGUUCCAGGCAGUCUGUUCCAAAUCAGAAAAUUGAUACCAAGUGCUGGCGGAUUGCUCUCUUUCUCAUUGUCCCAAAACAACGACAAGGAGAAAGACAGGGAGAAAGCAUGAUAUGAGAUACUCUUGCUUUCAACCUUCAUGAUAUGAAAUACUUUUUCUUUGGAUGAGUUGUUUGCAGAUGUACCCCAAGGACUAAGGAACACUGAGUGAUUCGAGAGGAUUUGUUGGAAAGGCAUUCUCGGAGAAGAAGAAGGGUUAUGUAUGUCUGCCUUGCAAUGGAGGGUGAGGGGUGACAUUUAUAGGAAUUAAUAACCUCUACUAUUCUUUCACUCAUGUCAGCAGCCGUUGGAUGAUUUAAUAGUAAACUUCACGUGUUUUCUACUUCACAAGAGAUCUUUGACAGAUUGCCCAUAAUUUCCGCAAGGCUAAGUGUGCAUGUGACAGGCGCUGACACGUCUAGAAAAACAAGUGCCUCUUCGAUAUCUGGAAUCGGUGCUUUGACAAACUGCCCGUGAUUUCUGCAAAGCUGACUCUGCAUGUGACAGACGUUGACACGUUUGAAAAAACAUUUCGACAAACUGCCCGUGAUUUCCGCAAAGCUGACUCUGCAUGUGACAGAUGUUGACACGUCUGGAAAAGCAGAUGGUUGGAAUUGGCGCUUCGAUAAACUGCCCGUGAUUUCCGCAAACCUUACUCUGCAUGUGACAGAUGCUGGCACGUCUGGAAAAGUAGAUGCCUCUCCGUUAUAUGGAAUUGCCUCUUCGAUCUCUGAAAUCCCGUCAAGUGCAGUGGUUGCAUGUGACAAGUGCAGACAAAUCUGGAAAAGAAGAUUGGUCGUGGUUUCUGAGCAAGCCCAGCUUUUGAGAAAGCUAGCGCCUCUUUGAUUUUUGAGUUUGCCUCUUCGAUUUCUGAGCUCGCCUCUUCGAUCUUUGAAAUCCCAUCGAGUGCUGAUUUUUAUAAAGGUACGCAGGACGUUCAAAGCACACUUGAAUUUCUGCAUGUAGAAACUCCCUUCUUGCACUUCUACGAUCUUGACUUGUCCGACCUCUUCUUUCUUUAACACCUCUGAAAAUGUAUGGCCCCUCCGACCGUCGUUUUGACUUGAACCUUGGUAAAGAGGCAGUCCCGCCUUCUCCAGACAACAUAUGGCGCCCAUCCUUCAUAUCCCCUACUGGUCCCCUUACCGUUGGGGAUUCGGUGAUGAAGAAUGAUAUGACAGCUGCGGUGGUGGCCAGGAACCUUGUCACUCCCAAAGAUAACAGACUACUUGCCAAACGGUCUGAUGAGUUGGUUGUAAGGAUUCUCUGGCUCUUAGUGUGCAGUGCGCAGGUUCCGUGUCUAAUAUGGCCCAACGCCUAUUUGCCUGAACCCGUCAAGUUGAAUCAUUGGCGGCUGAAGUGAUGAGUCUCAAGCAGGAGAUUAGAGGGCUUAAGCAUGAGAAUAAACAGUUGCACAGGCUCGUACAUAACUAUGCUACAAACAUGAAGAGGAAGAUUGACCAGAUGCAAGAAUCUGAUGGUCAGAUUUUACUUAAUCAUCAGAGGUUUGUGGGUUUGUUCCAACAGCAUUUGCCUUCAUCUUCUGGGGCUGUACCACGUAAUGAAGCUCUAAAUGAUCAACCUCCAAUGCUUCCUCCUUCUAGGGCUCCGCCGACUACUGAGACUUCUCCUAAGCAGCCUUUGUGAAGGCUUCCUCUUGUAUUUAUCUGCUUAAUGUUCCUUUCUUUCUUUAUGAAUGUAAAAAUACCUUGCAUAACUGUCAGUGUUUCAAAAAUAAACCCACACCAAAAACAAUUAAACAAGCAACAAAUAAAAAUGACAAUCAUGGCAAAAUAAAACUACAGAAAAGGGAAGGUUUUUAGAAAUCAAAACUGAUUGUGGAGCGAUUCAAAAAUCUUCCUUAUUUGAAUACAUGGGUUGCCUCCCAAGAAGCGCUUGCUUUAACGUCUUCCAGCCGGACGAAACUUCCUUCUAAACUUGGAUAGGGCCCAUAGCAUGGAAUUGAUCCUUGAAUGGAAUGUGAUACUUGACGUGAUCCGGCAAUGGCUUAAAUUCUAGUGUAGGUGCCUGAAUCAUCAAAAUCAGCAAGUUAGUAUAUAAUAAAAUCGAAGUUGGAGAAGAUGGCUUUACUUGCUUGGUCCAACACAAACUCAAUUACGAACACCACAUCUUUGAAGGUUGCAGGGAUAUGGGACUUGGCCAGAUCUGGUGUUUUGAGAGUUAUGACUUGUCCCGUGUCAUAAAAUCCAACUUCUUUGGGAAUUUUUGUCUCAAGCGUAUCUUCUUUGAUGAAUUCUAGACAUUCCCCAUCCACUUCUUGCUUUUGAUUCUUUGGAAAGGUUUCGAAGAUGCCUUUCUCACCCUCUUCUUCCUUGGAUUGCAUGAUCCUGCAAGGAAUAAGGACAUUUGGUGAAACGGGGUCAGGACAAAUUGAAUUUAGGCUUACCUUGGUUGUAGUGGACGACAUAGAGGGCAUAUGGGGUUGCGGCAAGGGUGGUUCUUCCCUUACCAUGGCCUUGUUAUUCUCCUCUUCUUCGAGCAGCAGCUGUUCAUCCAUGUUUUGGCUUGGUUUGGAUGUCUUGGGUUCACCUCCAACCUCCAUAGCACUUCCCAAAGUGAUAGCAUCAUGGAUUUCAAAAUCUUCUUUCAAAUUUUUAACAGUUGAGUUAGAGAAUUCACUUUGCUCUUGAAUUUGUGCCGUGAACUCCAUAAUCUGCCCAAAUUGCUUUUCCAAUUCACCCGUCUUCUUGGCUUGAUUUUGCACCUCUUUGUUUUGGUUUUCUACAUCCUGGUUCAAAGAGGUGAGUAACUUAUUAAACAUAUCAUUAUCCAAAGAUGUACCUGAAUUGAAUUGGGCAGAUUGUUGUGGUUGCUGUGAUGGUUCAUAUGGCCAGUGAUAGAACUCAUCUUCUUGCUGCCAAUAUCCAUCUUGUUGGAAUUGUUGCGGUAAUCCACACAUAUAAUCUGAAUAAUCUCUCCAAUCCGAAUUGUAAGCGUUGGAAAACAUGUUGUCCCAUGAUUGGCUAUGGCUUUGAUAACCCCAAGAAUCUUUAUUCACAGUGAAUUGAGAACAUUGAUGAGUUGGAUAUCCUUGCCCAUAGAACACACCACAUGUAGGGACACUUUGCAUUGUGGUCCUUUCGGCAUAUUGUGACAAUUGAGAAUUACGUUUUGCCAAUUGAGCUUGAAUGGUAGCAAAAUCCAUGUCUUACUUCUCUAGUCCCUAAAAUCAAGGGAACAAAACUAAAUCAAAUAUCACAAGUAAAAAUAAAAGACACAAAUAGAAACAAAGUCAGUAACUAAAACAAAAAACAUGAAAAAGAAACAACGGGGGAUUAGCAAAGUUGCUAAUCCCCGGCAACGGCACCACAAUUUGAUGCGAUGAAAGUUAAGCACUCAAAUUAAACCCUCUUGUUGUCAAAUUGUAGUAAAAAUGCAAGUAGGGAUCGUUCUAAACCGAGGAUUAUGAGGGCUUGCUAAAACCUCUAAACUAACUCAAAAACAUAAAAACAAAGUUAAAAACGUUUGAAUAGACUCAAGGGACUCAAAACAGAUUCACAAGACUCAAAACAACUUAAAAACACUCAAAACUGCCUAAAAACACAAACUAGGCAUUUUCUGACUUUAACACAACUUUGGACGAAAUUUGGGUUUUGACUUGACUCAAAACACUCUAAAACACAAAAAAACAAAAUAGAUUUUAAACACUUUGAAACAAGAAAGUAAAAGGGGGAUUUUAGUUUUGAUGAAUUGGAAACAAACAAACAAGUUAUAAAAUUAGACAGAUUGUAAAGCGAAUUUAAGAAAUGAGAUGAUGGAUGGAUUAGUUAGAGGUCUGUUCUUCGCACAUGACACACUUGUACAUGAAUGGAUUUCCAAUUGCUUUUCAAUAAACUAUGAUGCUCAACACCCCAGAUUAACCGUGAUGCACAAAUUAACCCUCAGAUUUUCCUUUACUCAUUGAAUUGGAUGAAUGCAUGCGACAACCCAAAUCAUUCUCUAAAAGUCCCCUAUAUGAAUGCAUAAUAGGGAUACAAUCAGAGAUCAUUACGUUCAAUGAAAAUCAUUAAGUGUUGACGAGGCAAUUAUAACUAUGAAUGCAUGAUACAAUUGCCAAGAAUUCAAU